AUAAGUACUCCAGGGAAAAGCAAAGAAGGAGAGGUUAAAUUUGACAGACAUGAAAAUAUCUUUAAUGUGAUAUUUUCUAUGCCCCACAAAAUGACUGAAAUGAAGUGAUUUAUGUAUCUGUUAUUUGCUCUCUUACUGUUGGAUUGCUCAUUCAUGAGGGUGCUGCUCAAAUUACAAUGGAUUCUCUCUUUGAAAUCAUUUGAUGACUCAUUGUGAAAGGCAUCAAAUUCACUCUGCCAAACUUUUUUGUCAUACUGGAAACCAUUGACUGGCCAGGAAAUAUCUUGUGUAUCCUCACUUCUUGAAGGUUAUCAAAGAGAGGACGGAUGGUGUUAGAAGAGAUCAUUUAAUGGCCCUAUAAAUGGAGGACCAAUUUACAUCAUGCACCGAAGAAAACUUGAUUGAGGCACUUAUAAGCAGAGAAAAUCUACAGGAUGAAACAAUUGGUCAAAUCCUGGUCUUCACAUCUGCUUGAGAUGAUUAAUUAGUCGGUUACCUCUGUUUAGAAUUUCAACUCUCUAACUGAUUUUGCUGAGGAAAUGCUCAAAGUGCAAAUUAAGCAUGGAAUUAAGGGCCUGUAAUAAUUAUUGUUCAAUGUAAGAAAUUUAACGGGGACCCUCAUGACAAACAGCAAAUUUGCCUGAGGGAAGAAGUGCUACAUCUUUUGGAUUUUACAAUUUCUUCGUAAUUACAUCUGAUGUAUAUUUCUAUUUCCUACUGGCUCCUUGAAUAGAACAAAUUGUAACAACAGAUUUUGCCACUUACUGAUAAGUUGUGAGAUGAAGAUUUUCAUGUA
Molecule: long non-coding RNA, 796 nt
Organism: Mangifera indica (mango)
Lineage: Eukaryota; Viridiplantae; Streptophyta; Magnoliopsida; Sapindales; Anacardiaceae
Exons: 6
Source: RefSeq, a predicted model, not a curated record